RNAcentral lists this transfer RNA (75 nucleotides) under Parcubacteria group bacterium CG23_combo_of_CG06-09_8_20_14_all_35_9. Its description in RNAcentral is "tRNA-Thr". It matches the Rfam family "tRNA". Rfam says of the family: Transfer RNA (tRNA) molecules are approximately 80 nucleotides in length. Their secondary structure includes four short double-helical elements and three loops (D, anti-codon, and T loops). The record is from RNAcentral.
GCCGGGGUAACUCAGCGGUAGAGUAGCUGUUUCGUAAACAGCAAGUCGUGGGUUCGAGUCCCACCUCCGGCUCCA